UCAUCCUUGAUGAAAGAUGAACAUUAAUAAUGCAGGUAGAAAUCAGGCCAAGUAAUGUUGAAGAGAAAACAAGGUCCAGUAGCACUACUUCCUUUUAGAAGAUAAGAAUAAACAGAUUUAAAAUGGCAAGCUCAAUAAUUUUACCCUAACAAAAAUGAGUGAAACAAGCUUCCGGUUCAAGGGUUUCUUCAGGUUCCACUACGGGCUGUUCUUCUGCAGGUGCACCGAUGUCCACAGUGCUACCUUCUGAUGAGCUACUGCUUUCAUUCAGUUUCUGCUGACUUAAUAUGUGAGCUGACAGAAUGCAGAGACCACGUUGUAUAUGAAGCAUCCACUUUGCCUUAUACACCAGGGCAUUCAAUAACCACUUAAUAACUACAACCCUGAUGAUCCGAUUCACUACUAAAGUCUUCCGUGUUUAAAUUUUCAAAGUCAGAUUCUCCUACAGCAAUUGGUACGGUCACAGUAAGACUGGGGUUGUUUAUGAAUGACAUGUAAUCACUUUCAUCAAUAAUGUAUUUUUCAACACUGCUG
Molecule: long non-coding RNA, 534 nt
Filed under: Pan troglodytes (chimpanzee)
Lineage: Eukaryota; Metazoa; Chordata; Mammalia; Primates; Hominidae
Description: long non-coding RNA NONPTRT010823
Source: RNAcentral